ACACACACACACACACACGUCUCUCUCCCCAAAUCCAUCUUUCCCCGGUAGCAUUUGAGUCAUAUCUGUAGUAACCUGUACCAAAUUAUUUCCUAGGGGUGAUUGGAUUGCACCUUGACGGACAAAAAAUGAAUCAAGUGAAUUCAUCCAGGAAAUCUGCCUCUAAUCCCCUUAUAUUUUAUUUUUAAAUAGCACUGCCAAAUAUUUAUUCCUUUCUUUCUUUCCCUCUUAUCUAGGUAAGAUCUUCCUUCCUGCCACUAACAUAAGACAGAUGCUCCGGUCUGGCCCAUCACGUCCCUGUUUCAUCUGCUAUCUUAGGAGAGGUCUUCCAGCUUCAUUUACAAACCCCUCCCCACCCAAAGGAUGUUUCCCAGAAGCCUCCAAAUUGGUACUCUCUUCUGCUGUUUCUCUAGACAAGGAUCUGCUGUGGAUAGGUUGGAAAUUUUCCUUUCUCCGAGCAACCCCCACCGGUCUCUGUGUGUGGAUGGUGAGCCCUUGAACCAGGUACCUAACGUUCUGGGAGUUGUGGAUCAACACCACCCGAGACCGGAAGCCAAUAUGUUGGUAUCAUCUCAUAAAAGCAGAGCUCUCGCCUGCUGUUUUUGUUUAAAAAGAAGAUUACCCAGAGUAUCAGUCCGAUUAAAAAAAAAAAUUAAUGUUAUACAAAUGCCCAUUGACUUCUUGCCAAAGCAAUGUGUUUCUGGUAUUUCAAUCAAACUGCUUAAUGAUUUAAUUAGAAGACCCCUAUGAGAACUCAAAGGCAUUUCAAAAAAUAGGGUAUUCAUUUUCUUUAUGAUGGAAUUAAGGAGUGAUCAAUGGAUAAGAGGCAGUUUGUGUGAUUGCUAUUGAUCCUUUACGAAAACAGCCAGUGGUUCUCCUUUUUCCUUGGUAAUUCCCACUUGUGAAGGGCACACCUGUCUUUUCUCCCAAGCUCCUUCGAAUUGCAGAUUAUACCAGCAAGAGACAGUUAUUACCGCUAUUGUUCUUUGCAGUCGACACAGAACUAGUAGCCACCUAACAGUUCUGUGCAUUUCUCAUGGAUUCUUUAAUUUUAACCCAAGCACUCAGCAGGUGGGCAGGACCCCUGCUGUUAAGAGGGAAAGGCAGUGGGCAUAACCUCACUUUGUAUUUUUGGUAAUGAGACAGGGCCACUUACCUUCCUUUUAACAGAGAAAGAGAUCUCCAGAUUUAAAAUCUCUAAAGCACCGUUGUUGCAAACUUCAGUAGAUGGCGUGAAAAAUAUGAAUACGUUGCCAUCAUCGUCUCAGGCAACAUAUUGUCUUUUUCAAUGAAGUAACAGGUUGCCGAAACAGCUAACCUCCCAACCAUCUCUCCACUGCAGAAUCCUAAAUUAUUCCCACGUGUGAGCCUUCCUUUUGAGAAAGGACUCAAUGUGACAUGUGAUGUUCUUGGCAUUGGAACCAGAAGGAAAUUCUGAUUUUUCCAGUGCUGGGAGCACAAAUAAGGUGCCCAGUGGGCAAGUAUUUCUCAACGUGAUUAAUUCCUCAUCAAGCCCCUGAAAGCACAUCAACAAGCCCUUCUUCUCUAGGGACUGCCUGGUAGUGUGUCACCUUGCUGGGCAGGAGGGAGCUGAGACGGGCAGAGUAGAAGGUAUAUUUCUUAAAUCAUGUACGUGCAUAUAUAUGUCUUUAAGGGGACUUGCCUCUCCUGAGGGUUCCGAAUACUCGUAACAACUGUGCCCUGCUAGAGUAAGAAAACAAGACCGAUUCGAUUUGAUCUAUGCAGAAAGCACUAUAUAAACUACGACUUACAAUUGAUUAAUUCAGGUUUAAAUUGUCUUACAAACAUACUUCCUGGUGGGGCUACAAAGACAAAUCUGCUGUGUCCGGGAGAGAACGAGCUUCCCCCACUCGUCACUUCGUACUUUCUCGCUAACUUAACCUUGAACACAACUGUGCACGAAACGCCACACCGGGCGCUACAAGGAAUGGAACGAGUGAGACCUGCGUACCUGGGUCAGGUGCAGGAGGGAGCAGUGGCAGAAGGGAAGUCUUAGGGCGGUAGGGGUGGAGAGCGCCUCUGGGAGAUGGGAUGUUAUCUCCCAGAUGCCUGGAGCCUGGCCACAUGCUGGGAGGCCUGCAGCAACGAGGGUGCCUGAGAACACCAAUGGCAACACAAGUGCUAGAGUCAGUGUGCUAGCGAAAUGCCGUGGUGGCCAAAGGAAGAUCCCCAUUCCAAGGGAGGAAAGAAUCUCUUGAAGCCAUGGCAUCUGGCACGAGCCCUGAAGGUUCAGUAGCAUCUCAGUGUUUAUACCAGGGAGGGAAUGGCAUCAGUGCCCAAAGGGAACAGCCUGAACAAAAUGAGGCAUGAACUACGAGGCUGACUCGGUGCUGAGGAGUGGCCUGGUGGGAGGAGAGGCAGGGAUGUGCUGUGGUCUGAAUGUUUGUCCUCUCCAAAGUCCUGCUGAAACUGGUCCUUGACACGGCAGUCCUGAGGGGUGGGCCUUUAAGAGGUGACAGGCUCCUGAGAAGUCUGCCCAGGUAAUGAAUAGGUGACCAUGGGAGGGAAAAUGGUGGCUUUAUAAGGAAAGGAGGAGAGACCUGAGUAGCAGGCUUAGCCCCAUGUGAUGAUGCCCUGCAUCACCUCAGGGCCCUGGGACCCUGCAGAGGGUCCCCACCAGCACGAAGACCCUCACAGACGGGGCCCCUGUACCUUGCACCUCCCAGCCUCCACAACUGCAAGAAACAAAUUCCAUUUCUUAUAAAUCACCCAGUUUCAGGUAUUCUGUUAUAAGCAACAGAAAACAUACUAAGACAGAGGGAUCGGGUUCAGCCAUGGAGACUCCUAAAUGACAUGCCGGUUCCUCUCUCUCUGUCCUGAGGGACCAGGCCGGGUUCUGGGGACGUCUGCCAUCAGGAUGGGCAAUGUGGAAAGUGGACGUAUUCAGACGCCACUGCUUCCGGGCACUGUGACCCUGGCCCAGCAUAACAUGGUGGAACCUUCAUGAAGGAUUCUGGGAAAGACGCAUGCGCAGGAAGGGAAACCGGUCAUGUGAUCCGUUAUAUCACCUGUCAAUCACUGCAACGAUGGGAAACGGCUACCAAUCCUGCCAGGGAAGAGGCGGGACAAGCCGGGCCCAACGAGGAAGAUGAGCUCUCUCCAGGUGCAAAAACUUAUCUACAAGUCGAGUGACAAGUUGGAAUCCUAAAUACAAACGGCGUUGCUAUGGGAACAAUCUUGAUAUCGGGUCUCUUUAGUCAUCCCCUGAUAGAGUGGCAAGAGCGAAAGUCCAGAUCUGCCCACGCUUCACAAAACUCAACGCGGAGUCCUGUCAAGAGUCACUUGACGUCAAGACUGACUUUUAAAUUCGCCAGGAAGGUGUUCUCUGGGGAGCGGUGGGUCCGCACCAUCUCUCUUUCCCUCUUUAGAGACCUGCUGCCGGCUGCUGGAGUUCUUCAGACCCACAAAUCGCAGUUCCAAACUUAAUUCAACACUUAGAGGAGGGGGAAGGAGCUUCGAACAUUGACAUUUGAUAUUUUUUUUCUAAAUCAACAUGUUUCAAUUUAUCACUC
Microcebus murinus (gray mouse lemur) is the source of this 3533-nucleotide non-coding RNA. The record is from RefSeq and is a predicted model, not a curated record. NCBI's taxonomy places the organism in Eukaryota, Metazoa, Chordata, Mammalia, Primates, Cheirogaleidae.